GACCUGGGCGCAGCCUGUUCCAGCCAUGCCGCGUGAGUGCUUCAGGCCUUCGGGUUGUAAAGCUCUUUCACCCACGACGAUAAUGACGGUAGUGGUAUAAGAAGCCCCGGCUAACUUCGUGCCAGCAGCCGCGGUAAUACUUACAGCCGCGGUGACUCCAGCAGUACGCGGU
Molecule: ribosomal RNA, 172 nt
Filed under: uncultured bacterium
Lineage: Bacteria
Description: partial 16S rRNA
Rfam family: Bacterial small subunit ribosomal RNA (bases 1-152)
Source: RNAcentral